UUCAUCAAUUCCUCUAAAGGAUAAAGGGUAACAAAUUGCUUGCUUAGAACUAUUCAAAAGGAAUCAAAUUUUACCUAACUUCCAGGCUAUGUAGUUCAAUUUGAGGUUGAAUUUCCCAUUUACUGAGUCCCCAUUCAAUGUCACGUUCAUGCAAAAGAAUUUAGUGGAAAAUAGCAUGACUUUGAGAGGCUUUGACGCUUCCAUAGCUGCUUUCUUCACGUCAGUUGUCCUGUCUUCAUGGCAGCAAAUGCACUCACCCUGGUAAGAUUCACCAUGUGAGCUACAGAUGACUCCUGGCUCCCAGAAGCAACGUAUGAAUGCGGACACAAACAGGCUCAAUUUUUGAACAGCAAGAGCCGAUAAAACGGAAAUCAGUAACUUACAGAGAAAAUAAUGCCCUAUUUGGCAAAUCUGAACAUAAGUCAGUUCCUUUGUAAAAACUAUCAACAAUUUUCUUAAAACUUGCUUAAAGUCUCUCUUGCGCUUUCUUUGUUCCUGAAUUAUUUUUUCUAAUUUAAAAUCUAAUUCCGUCUGUAAGUCUGUAUAUCCUUACACAUAGCAACAGAAAUCACAGGCUCUUACAGGACAGAACUGCUGUUUCUCUGGGUUGCUCCUGUACUGAGGCAAAACCCCUGUGAGUCACCUAUAUCUUGAUAUGGAUUUGAGACUAAACAUAUUAUAAUAGAUUUUUUUUUUAAAGUUAAACAUUAGAAAGUAAUCUUGCCAGGUGUAGUGGCUCAUGCCUGUAAUCCCAGCACUUUGGGAGGCUGAGUUGGGCAGAUUGUUUGAGGCCAGAAGUUUGAGAAAGUAAUCUCAUAUUUCAAAUAUAUGUACCUCUUCCCUUUCCAUGAUUCACAUGGUAGUAAAUAAAAUCUAACAUAAUUGUAUCAUCUUAACUAAUUAUACCUGUUCAUCUUGUGUGUUCUCACAGGUCUUAUGACCAAAGGAUAUUUACAUAAUAUGAGAUCACUCACUUGGUAGCUGCAAACUAGAAUUGUGACUUACUAGUCAUUACAUGCUGUAAAACAUGUUGUUGAAUUAAAAAAUAACACAGGCCCAUUUUUAAAAACAUAGGGUACAAAAUUAUAUAAAGUAAAAAAUGAGCAUUGACCUUCUUAAAGGUAGUCAUUGUUAAGUUUCAGGUAUUUUCAAUAUAGACAUUGACAUAAAUUGAUACAUUUAAUAACAUGCAAUAGACAUCUUUUAUAAAACAUCACAUAAACAUAUCCUACUCUAAUUUCCACAAAUAAUUCUAUUGAUUGGAUAGAGUAUAAUUGUUUAAUCAUUACUUUUUAAUGGACACCUAGACUGUUUCAAGGUUUUUGCUAUUGCAAAAUGAAGCAAAACAAAACAUACAGUAAGCAUCUCUGUGCAUUACCUUUGAAUACUCAUAUGAAAUGUAUCUGCAAGGUAAAUUUCUAGAAGUAGAAUUACUGAGGCAGAAAAUAUAUGCACAUUUUGAAAAUUUAUAGAUAUUGUCAUGUUGCCAGUCAAAAUCCUUAAACUAUUUUACAUUUCACCAAUAGAGAAUGAGGGUUCCUCUGUAUAUAUCUCAAUAUCUUUAGGGAUUAUUAGCCUUGAAAAACCUUUACAAUCUGGGUUGAAUGUGUGCUCCCAAAAUUUAUAUGUUGAAAUCCUUCCCCUCAAUGUGUGGAAAGCGAUUGGGUCAUAAGGGUGGAGCCCUUGUGAAUGGGAUUAGUACCCUUAUGAAUGAGGCCCUAGAGAGCUCCAUUGCCCUCUCUGUGCUGUGUGAAGUUACAGGGAGAAGAUGGCCAUCGGCAACCUGAAAGAACAUCCUAGAGCCCAACCAUGCCAGCACCCUGAUCUUAGACAUCCAGCCUCUAGAACUGUGAGAAGUAAAUUUCUGUUUAUAAGCCACCCAGCUUAUAGUAUUUCUGUUACAGCAAACCAAAUGGACUAAGACACUCUUUAUACAUUACUUUUGAAGCCACCAUGAUAGUAAAAGAAGUACGACAGAUGAGCAGAACCCCAAACUCCAUUCAUAGUGAAGUGUGCAUCCCAGGAACAGGGUCUAAAAAGGAGCGGGGGCAAGAGUGAGUUCACACAAAAUUACCCUGUCUUAGACCUCUUGGGAUAAAUUCCUCCUAAAAGAAAGCCCCAAAGCUCCUGCUAAAUUGGCCUGCUGCAGGUUGCCUUAAUAAUUUGCAAAGCACAUAAGAAGUAAGAGACUCACAAGACAGCUGGCUGUGUUCCCACCAUGGCUACAAAGGGGUGAGUGCACCAGCGAGCAGCUUACAUUUCCCUCCUAGACACACAGGAGGAAAACACUGCCACCUCCUUACUAUAUCCUGCUGAUUCUAAUCUGGAAUGAAGCCCUCCAGAAACGAAAUAAGAGUUCUAUUUUACUGGCCUAUCUGUGGCCUCAUCUAUGGAAUGAGAAUAUAUUGACACCCUGAUUUAUUCGUAGGUUCUUAUUAUAUGCCUUGCACAUAGUAAGUGUUCAGUAAGUGUUAGCUAUUAUUAUUUUUACUAUUACCAUUUUUUUUACAUUUUAUGGGAAGCUUCACUCUUUAUUCUGUAUUUAACUGAAAUAC
Long non-coding RNA from Sapajus apella (tufted capuchin), 2555 nucleotides. RefSeq lists it as uncharacterized. Lineage: Eukaryota; Metazoa; Chordata; Mammalia; Primates; Cebidae. The record is from RefSeq and is a predicted model, not a curated record. The transcript has 2 exons.